RNAcentral lists this ribosomal RNA (305 nucleotides) under uncultured bacterium. Its description in RNAcentral is "bacterial SSU rRNA". It matches the Rfam family "Bacterial small subunit ribosomal RNA", at positions 335 to 641 of the family's 1533-position model. The record is from RNAcentral.
UACCUACGGGGGGCAGCAGUGGGGAAUAUUGCACAAUGGGGGGAACCCUGAUGCAGCGACGCCGCGUGAGUGAAGAAGUAUUUCGGUAUGUAAAGCUCUAUCAGCAGGGAAGAAAUAAAGUCCUUCGGACUUUGGACGGUACCUGACUAAGAAGCCCCGGCUAACUACGUGCCAGCAGCCGCGGUAAUACGUAGGGGGCAAGCGUUAUCCGGAUUUACUGGGUGUAAAGGGAGCGUAGACGGCAGCGCAAGUCUGGAGUGAAAUCCCAUGGCUUAACCAUGAAACUGCUUUGGAAACUGUGCAGC